Molecule: ribosomal RNA, 977 nt
Filed under: uncultured bacterium
Lineage: Bacteria
Description: bacterial SSU rRNA
Rfam family: Bacterial small subunit ribosomal RNA
Source: RNAcentral
GAUGAACGCUAGCGGCAGGCUUAACACAUGCAAGUCGAGGGGUAGGAGAAGCUUGCUUCUCUGAGACCGGCGCACGGGUGCGUAACGCGUAUGCAAUCUACCUUUCACAAAGGGAUAGCCCAGAGAAAUUUGGAUUAAUACCUUAUAGUAAUACGCCUUGGCAUCAAGAUGUAUUUAAAGAUUUAUCGGUGAAAGAUGAGCAUGCGUCCCAUUAGCUAGUUGGUAUGGUAACGGCAUACCAAGGCAACGAUGGGUAGGGGUCCUGAGAGGGAGAUCCCCCACACUGGUACUGAGACACGGACCAGACUCCUACGGGAGGCAGCAGUGAGGAAUAUUGGACAAUGGGCGCAAGCCUGAUCCAGCCAUGCCGCGUGCAGGAUGACGGUCCUAUGGAUUGUAAACUGCUUUUAUACAGGAAGAAACCCCUCUACGUGUAGAGACUUGACGGUACUGUAAGAAUAAGGAUCGGCUAACUCCGUGCCAGCAGCCGCGGUAAUACGGAGGAUCCAAGCGUUAUCCGGAAUCAUUGGGUUUAAAGGGUCCGUAGGCGGUCAGGUAAGUCAGUGGUGAAAGCCCAUCGCUCAACGGUGGAACGGCCAUUGAUACUGUCUGACUUGAAUUAUUAGGAAGUAACUAGAAUAUGUAGUGUAGCGGUGAAAUGCUUAGAGAUUACAUGGAAUACCAAUUGCGAAGGCAGGUUACUACUAAUAUAUUGACGCUGAUGGACGAAAGCGUGGGUAGCGAACAGGAUUAGAUACCCUGGUAGUCCACGCCGUAAACGAUGGAUACUAGCUGUUGGGAGCAAUCUCAGUGGCUAAGCGAAAGUGAUAAGUAUCCCACCUGGGGAGUACGAACGCAAGUUUGAAACUCAAAGGAAUUGACGGGGGCCCGCACAAGCGGUGGAGCAUGUGGUUUAAUUCGAUGAUACGCGAGGAACCUUACCAAGGCUUAAAUGUAGUUUGACCGGUUGGAAACAG